Molecule: ribosomal RNA, 315 nt
Filed under: Pleurotus sp. PLHP-5
Lineage: Eukaryota; Fungi; Basidiomycota; Agaricomycetes; Agaricales; Pleurotaceae
Description: partial small subunit ribosomal RNA
Source: RNAcentral
CCGUGAUGGACUAACCGUCUGUCGCUGGGAAGAAGCUUAACUUGGGGGAAACUGCCACGAAAAUAAAACUUUAAUAUAAGUUUGCCUUUCUUUAAUUUUGUUAUUUUAGAAAUUUAAAUUAUUAAUUUAAUUUUUUCCUAGUCCCUUAUCCUAAAGAUGAGGAGACAUAGGUAGGUAGUUUUUAUUUAUAUAUUUUUAUUUUAGUAUAAAAAAUAAUAAUUUUUGCAUUAAAAAAACACUUAUAUUAAGCUAUUUAGUAUCUGUUAACCCAUUUAAGUAACAUCUCAAAAGUCAUAGCAAGGUAGCUUGUACUGG